GUUCCUGCGGCUGCCCCAGCUGGGAGGGUAAGAGACAGACGGAUAGAGCAACAAACUUAUUAAAGACUAGAGCAGAGUGUAUUUGUCAAGUCAGGUCAAUUUUAUUUGCAUAGCCUAAUAUCACAAAUUUGCCUCAAGGGGCUUUACAAUAUGUACAGCAUACAAAACCAUCUAUCCUUAGACUUUUGUUUCAGAU
Sander lucioperca (pikeperch) is the source of this 196-nucleotide long non-coding RNA. RefSeq lists it as uncharacterized. The record is from RefSeq and is a predicted model, not a curated record. The transcript has 2 exons. Lineage: Eukaryota; Metazoa; Chordata; Actinopteri; Perciformes; Percidae.